GACGAACGCUUGCGGCGCGCUGAACACAUGCAAGUCGAAUGGAAAGGCCCUGCUUUUGUGGGGUGCUCGAGUGGCGAACGGGUGAGUAACACGUGAGUAACCUGCCCUUGACUUUGGGAUAACUUUAGGAAACCGGGGCUAAUACCGGAUAGGAGCUCCUGCUUCAUGGUGGGGGUUGGAAAGUUUCGGCGGUUGGGGAUGGACUCGCGGCUUAUCAGCUUGUUGGUGGGGUAGUGGCUUACCAACGCUUUGACGGGUAGCCGGCCUGAGAGGGUGACCGGCCACAUUGGGACUGAGAUACGGCCCCGACUCCUACGGGAGGCAGCAGUGGGGAAUAUUGCACAAUGGGCGGAAGCCGGAUGCAGCAACGCCGCGUGCGGGAUGACGGCCUUCGGGUUGUAAGCCGCUUUCGCCUGUGACGAAGCGUGAGUGACGGUAAUGGGUAAAGAUGCACCGGCUAACUACGUG
RNAcentral lists this ribosomal RNA (468 nucleotides) under uncultured bacterium. Its description in RNAcentral is "partial 16S ribosomal RNA". It matches the Rfam family "Bacterial small subunit ribosomal RNA", at positions 28 to 507 of the family's 1533-position model. The record is from RNAcentral.